GCGGCCUAUCAGCUUGUUGGUGAGGUAAUGGCUCACCAAGGCGACGACGGGUAGCCGGCCUGAGAGGGCAACCGGCCACACUGGGACUGAGACACGGCCCAGACUCCUACGGGAGGCAGCAGUGGGGAAUAUUGGGCAAUGGAGGGAACUCUGACCCAGCGACGCCGCGUGCGGGAUGAAGGCCUUCGGGUUGUAAACCGCUUUCAGCAAGGAAGAAGCGAAAGUGACGGUACUUGCAGAAGAAGCACCGGCUAACUAUGUGCCAGCAGCCGCGGUAAUACAUAGGGUGCAAGCGUUGUCCGGAAUUAUUGGGCGUAAAGAGCUCGUAGGUGGUUCGUUACGUCGGAUGUGAAAAUCUGGGGCUUAACCCCAGACCUGCAUUCGAUACGGGCGAGCUAGAGUGUGGUAGGGGAGACUGGAAUUCCU
This 426-nucleotide ribosomal RNA is filed under the name uncultured Actinomycetes bacterium. RNAcentral describes it as "bacterial SSU rRNA". It matches the Rfam family "Bacterial small subunit ribosomal RNA", at positions 233 to 671 of the family's 1533-position model. Lineage: Bacteria; Bacillati; Actinomycetota; Actinomycetes. The record is from RNAcentral.